RNAcentral lists this unclassified non-coding RNA (89 nucleotides) under Pseudomonas jessenii. Lineage: Bacteria; Pseudomonadati; Pseudomonadota; Gammaproteobacteria; Pseudomonadales; Pseudomonadaceae. The record is from RNAcentral.
UGUGGGAGCGAGCUUGCUCGCGAUGACGUCAUGACUUCAGCAUCAAUGUUGAUUGAGCUAUCGCCAUCGCGAGCAAGCUCGCUCCCACA